GCUCGGCGGGAGACGGGUAGCGGGAAGCCGCCGAGGGUGGCUCGCCUGGUAAAGAAGGGAGACGGAAACGGGACAUUAAUCCGGUUUUUCCUCAGCGAGUAAUAAGAAGAGCGGACGUUGUAUCGGUCUAUGGGAGUUUGCCGUUUUCAAACCGCUAGCAAGAUUUGAACAUUAGCCUCACUUGACUCACUUAUAUCCAACUCUUUUAUGCUUUCAUCGAUCACCUCUGACUCAAAUUGGCUGGCGAUUGUUCCAGGGGUUGGCCUACCUCUCGCGUCUGUUGGGAUGCGCCGCAGCUCUUUUGAAAAUGGUCGCGGUGCUCAAACCGUGACGAAAAAUGGUUGCGGAUGGAUCGGCAAGACCGAGCCGUGAUUGAAUCGCAAGCGGAGAAGUCGACGGCGGGUUACAAACGGCGGCUGGAUUUAAAUGUCAUUAGCCGGGUAAUUUCAAGGCUGCUUAACGCUAAGCGACGGUGUAAAGGUUGGGGGGGAAAAAAGGCGGCCCCGUUUCAAACCAACGAGGCCCGGGCCGUCCGUUGCAGCCAGCUCGGAGUGUGUCGCUUUCAUUAAAGUGGACGCGAGUCAGCUGGGAUCAUCUAAAGAGAAGACUGUGAUCUGCAGUGAGAGUAAAAAAAAGUACACUUCAUUUAAUUCUCAAUAACAAAACCAAUUCCAGCUUUUGCGGGGGCGAGCGAGCUUGCUCCCGUCUCAAAUUGAUUCGGGAGUUUAUUUCGUUUAAGGCCCGCGGUGAGCGCCCCCCCCCCCUCCCUACCUCCUCCUACCACCCACCACGCCUGUGAAAAUGAUUCAAUCGACACGAUCCUUCCCAUGAAAGAAAGAAAUUGGGUGUUUAAAAUGGAGGGAAGAAGGCGAGGAGGAAUGUUCAAUCCAGGAGGGAAUUGAACAGAAACACCACAAAGCAAAACAAUGCUUGCUUAGUAUGAGGAGCGCUACCACCGAAAACGAUAACAUCCGCCACGUCGGGACUGGAGAGACCUUAAUACUCAUGGUGUGUAACAUGAUCCAUUUCUGAGCCGUUUUUUUUAACAAGCUUUCCCAUCGGGAAAAAAUAAAAAAAUAGAAAUCACAGGGUCACUGUUGCCAUUACGAAACAUGUACUGCAGGUUGUCGGAUUACGACGAGGUUGCGUUUUUUGUGCGCCUUUCUAAUUAGUUUGUCAGAACGUGCCUCACUCCCCCCCC
This is a long non-coding RNA of Hippocampus zosterae (dwarf seahorse), 1201 nucleotides long. RefSeq lists it as uncharacterized. The transcript has 2 exons. The record is from RefSeq and is a predicted model, not a curated record. NCBI's taxonomy places the organism in Eukaryota, Metazoa, Chordata, Actinopteri, Syngnathiformes, Syngnathidae.